CAAGUCGAACGGCAGCGCGGGAGCAAUCCUGGCGGCGAGUGGCGAACGGGUGAGUAAUACAUCGGAACGUGCCCAAUCGUGGGGGAUAACGCAGCGAAAGCUGUGCUAAUACCGCAUACGAUCUACGGAUGAAAGCAGGGGACCGCAAGGCCUUGCGCGAAUGGAGCGGCCGAUGGCAGAUUAGGUAGUUGGUGGGGUAAAGGCUCACCAAGCCUUCGAUCUGUAGCUGGUCUGAGAGGACGACCAGCCACACUGGUACUGAAACACGGCCCAGNACUCCUACGGGAGGCAGCGGUGGGGAAUUUUGGACAAUGGGCGGAAAGCCUGAUCCACCCCAUGCCUGUGUGCAGGUAUGAAG
Molecule: ribosomal RNA, 358 nt
Filed under: uncultured Variovorax sp.
Lineage: Bacteria; Pseudomonadati; Pseudomonadota; Betaproteobacteria; Burkholderiales; Comamonadaceae
Description: bacterial SSU rRNA
Rfam family: Bacterial small subunit ribosomal RNA
Source: RNAcentral